RNAcentral lists this unclassified non-coding RNA (334 nucleotides) under uncultured fungus. RNAcentral describes it as "partial contains 5.8S ribosomal RNA and internal transcribed spacer 2". The stretch from base 1 to 133 matches the Rfam family "5.8S ribosomal RNA", at positions 22 to 154 of the family's 154-position model. The record is from RNAcentral. Lineage: Eukaryota; Fungi.
UGGCUUUGGCAUCGAUGAAGAACGCAGCAAAAUGCGAUAAGUAGUGUGAAUUGCAGAAUUCAGUGAAUCAUCGAAUCUUUGAACGCACAUUGCGCCCGCCAGCACUCUGGCGGGCAUGCCUGUCUGAGCGUCAUGUCAACCCUCGGGGCCCCAGGGCCCCGGCGCUUGGGGAUCAGCCCCCCCCGCGGGGCUGGCCCUGAAAUCCAGCGGCGGUCCACCAACGACCUCCUCUGCGCAGUAGCGACGCACCGCAGCCUGGACGGCGUGGGGGCCACGCCGUAGAGCACCCCGAACCACCAAGGUUGACCUCAGAUCAGGUAGGAUUACCCGCUGA